Molecule: unclassified non-coding RNA, 349 nt
Filed under: soil metagenome
Description: partial contains 5.8S ribosomal RNA, internal transcribed spacer 2, and large subunit ribosomal RNA
Rfam family: 5.8S ribosomal RNA (bases 1-120)
Source: RNAcentral
GAUGAAGAACGCAGCGAAAUGCGAUAAGUAGUGUGAAUUGCAGAAUUCAGUGAAUCAUCGAAUCUUUGAACGCACAUUGCGCCCUUCGGUAUUCCGUUGGGCAUGCCUGUUCGAGCGUCAUUUAAACCUUCAAGCUCUGCUUGGUGUUGGGGAUCGGCACAGGCGCCCUCGGGCGCCAGCCGUCCCCUAAAUCUAGUGGCGGUCCCGCUGCAGCCUCCUCUGCGUAGUAGUUUUCUCCUCGCAAGGGCAGCUCGGUGGCGACCUCGCCGUAAAACCCCCAACUUCUGAAAGGUUGACCUCGAAUCAGGUAGGAAUACCCGCUGAACUUAAGCAUAUCAAUAAGCGGAGA